Molecule: long non-coding RNA, 2044 nt
Organism: Seriola aureovittata
Lineage: Eukaryota; Metazoa; Chordata; Actinopteri; Carangiformes; Carangidae
Exons: 3
Source: RefSeq, a predicted model, not a curated record
CACUGACACACCACACGGGAUGAAGGCACGUUUUUCUCCACGGCGCAGCCAGGGCCCAUCCACAGAGCCCCCGCAUUGGGAGGAUUCGUUUGUCGUCACUGGGGGAGUUAACCGGAGGGGCGGGGUUACAGAGAGAGCAGAAAAUGCCUGCCCCCCCUGCUAGAGCUGGACCAGCACUGGACUGCUAAGGUCCUGGACCAUGCGAAGGUGGACAGAAUGUGGUGAUAUCCACCUCAGCCAUCACUCACCUCUUGUGGCAUGCCAGCGUUGGAGCAGUUCUGUGGGCACCCCCUGUUCCUGUGGAUGCCAAGGAAGCUUUCGCGUGUCCAGCUACAUCAUCACUACAUCACAGGGUCAGACAGGGGAUAUUUUGCAGGGAGGAGAGGCCCGGCACAGUGGACCCAGGCCCUUUAAUUGAGUCAGGCACAAGCAUUGGAGCCUUAUCAGCAGAACCUCCUCCAGAUCUGGCAAGCACGCACGCUGAAGCUCAUUGUCAUGCCAAUCAUCUGUCGUCAUCGCCUCAUGUUGCGGCAUGAUGUGCAUUAUCCCUGGAAGCUCAAAACAUCACAGUUCUUGCAUGGCCUCCAUAGUCACUACACAUGUCAUCCAGUGAGCGUGUUUGGGAUGCUCUGGAUCUGCGUGUUCCACUUCCUGCCAAUAUCCAGCAACGUCACGGAGUCAAUGAAGAGGAGCGGCCCAAAAUUCCACGGGCCACAAUCAACAUCCUGAUCAACUCUGUACAAACGAGAUGUGUCACACUGGAUGAGGCAGAUGGUGGUCACACCUGUGCAAUAAUCAUACUGUGUAAUCAGCAUCUUGAUAUGCCACAUCUGUCAGGUGGAUGGAUUAUUUUGGCAAAGGAAAAGUGCUAACUAUCACAGAUUUAAACACAUUUGUGAACAAAAUCAUUUGUGUGGUUAGAGAACACAUUGAACUCAUGGAAAAUGGGAGUAAAAACAAAAGGUGUUGGGGUUUUUUUUUCCAUUUUUGUUCACUGUAUAUUGUGCUCUUAAUACUACAUACUACCACACUACAUAACACCUGGAAUAUUUUCCGAUACUGCAAACAUGAAAGAAAACAGAAUAAUUGUGUAGGCCACAUAUGGAAUCCCCUCAAAACAUUUCUUUAAAUAUCUUCAACUGAGAAGUUUCAUACUGGCCAGGCAGUAUUAACAAUUAAAUGUAAGCAGCAGAAAGGAUCUUUAUUUCAUUGUAUGUGGGAAUGCCCACUGACACACUCUUUUUGGAAGAAAGUGUUGACUCUGGCCAGUCAAAGCAUUGAUAAAGAAGUGCCUCUCAAUCCAAAACUAUGUUUAUUGAAUAUCUACCUGGAUGACUUUGUGACCUCUAAAAAUGAAACAUCCUUACUCAAUAUUUGUUUUCUAGAAGCUAAAAGAUGUACAGCCUGUUCAUGGAAAAAAUAAAAAUCUUGUGCUACCUCACAAUGGCUGACAGGAAUGACUUUUUUACUUUGCUUUAGAAAAGAUAAGCUUCACCACAAAGAACAAGUUAGACAAGUUUUGGAAAAUCUGGAAAGUUUUUUAUGAUAUUGAAGUAGAUGACUUUUUUUUUUUUUGUCUUGCUUUUUGUUUCUUUUGCCCCCCCUUUUCUUUUAAUCGCUAUGAUUGUUGUAGUACAUACACAAUGUUAAAUGUAAAAUAUUCUGUUACUAUGUGGAUAUUAUGUAAGCGAUAAGUGUGUGUAUAUGCAGAGAAUAUAUAAUUUCCUACUAUUAGAACGCCGACUCUAUGUUUGGGUGUAUGUAUGUACAUAUAUGUGUAUGUUGAUAUAUACCCACUUAUUUAUCUUAUUUAUCAUUAUUAUUAUUAUUAUUAUUAGUACUUUUGUUAUUAUUAUCAAUUACCUACAUGUGUCUUCUUGUUCUGUUGUUCCUUGAUUGUAAAAUUAACAAAAUGUGCCAUAAAUAAAUGUUUAAAAAAAGAAUUGUGUGCUGGAGAAAGACCACCAUCAUGAGCCCAGAGAGCCUGUCUCCUGCGGUUGAGGAAAGGCAGUGGCUCCAUCUGCUGGUAACUCUCAGGCCACCU